CCUACGGGAGACAGCAGUGAGGAAUAUUGGUCAAUGGGCGCGAGCCUGAACCAGCCAAGUAGCGUGAAGGAUGACUGCCCUACGGGUCGCAAACUUCUUUUAUAAAGGAAUAAAGUGCGGCACGUGUCCCUUCUUGUAUGUACUUUAUGAAUAAGGAUCGGCUAACUCCGUGCCAGCAGCCGCGGUAAUACGGAGGAUCCGAGCGUUAUCCGGAUUUAUUGGGUUUAAAGGGAGCGUAGAUGGGUUGUUAAGUCAGUUGUGAAAGUUUGCGGCUCAACCGUAAAAUUGCAAUUGAUACUGGCAGUCUUGAGUACAGUUGAGGUAGGCGGAAUGCGUGGUGUAGCGGUGAAAUGCUUAGAUAUCACGAAGAACUCCGAUUGCGAAGGCAGCUUACUAAGCUGCCACUGACAUUGAUGCACGAAAGUGUGGGGAUCAAACAGGAUUAGAUACCCUUGUAGUC
This 460-nucleotide ribosomal RNA is filed under the name uncultured bacterium. RNAcentral's name for it is "partial 16S ribosomal RNA". It matches the Rfam family "Bacterial small subunit ribosomal RNA", at positions 338 to 795 of the family's 1533-position model. The record is from RNAcentral.